This 349-nucleotide long non-coding RNA is filed under the name Brachypodium distachyon (stiff brome). RNAcentral's name for it is "long non-coding RNA (BDIS_LNC001425)". Lineage: Eukaryota; Viridiplantae; Streptophyta; Magnoliopsida; Poales; Poaceae. The record is from RNAcentral.
UAUCACGCCCACCACGUGGGCUGGCCAAACUAGCUCACUGGUAUCGCAUACGGGCCAAGGUGCAGCUUGAACUCCCCGGAGUUUGCAAAUGAUGAAGGGAGUGGUUCCUAGUUAUUUUGUCCUCUAAAAAAAUAGUUAUUUUGUCGGGGUAAAAAAAAAAGUACUCCGCUUGCUUCCCGAUUCACUCCUGCACACAAAAUUUAAAGUUGUCAUUAAAAGUUGGAGGAAAUUAGCCGCCCCUGCCAUUUCAACUGGAAAAAAGAAAAAUUCCCCGAUCUUGUCCGGCGAUGGCAGAAAACCCUAGCGCUGCCACCGUCUCUGCCACCCCACCACCGCCGUCUCCGCCACC